AGCUACAGGCUUAACACAUGCAAGUCGAGGGGCAGCAUGGUCUUAGCUUGCUAAGGCUGAUGGCGACCGGCGCACGGGUGAGUAACACGUAUCCAACCUGCCGUCUACUCUUGGCCAGCCUUCUGAAAGGAAGAUUAAUCCAGGAUGGGAUCAUGAGUUCACAUGUCCGCAUGAUUAAAGGUAUUUUCCGGUAGACGAUGGGGAUGCGUUCCAUUAGAUAGUAGGCGGGGUAACGGCCCACCUAGUCAACGAUGGAUAGGGGUUCUGAGAGGAAGGUCCCCCACAUUGGAACUGAGACACGGUCCAAACUCCUACGGGAGGCAGCAGUGAGGAAUAUUGGUCAAUGGGCGAUGGCCUGAACCAGCCAAGUAGCGUGAAGGAUGACGG
RNAcentral lists this ribosomal RNA (387 nucleotides) under uncultured Bacteroides sp. RNAcentral's name for it is "bacterial SSU rRNA". It matches the Rfam family "Bacterial small subunit ribosomal RNA", at positions 39 to 414 of the family's 1533-position model. The record is from RNAcentral. Lineage: Bacteria; Pseudomonadati; Bacteroidota; Bacteroidia; Bacteroidales; Bacteroidaceae.